CCCCGGUAAACGGCGGCCGUAACUAUAACGGUCCUAAGGUAGCGAAAUUCCUUGUCGGGUAAGUUCCGACCUGCACGAAUGGCGUAAUGAUGGCCAGGCUGUCUCCACCCGAGACUCAGUGAAAUUGAACUCGCUGUGAAGAUGCAGUGUACCCGCGGCAAGACGGAAAGACCCCGUGAACCUUUACUAUAGCUUGACACUGAACAUUGAGCCUUGAUGUGUAGGAUAGGUGGGAGGCUUUGAAGUGUGGACGCCAGUCUGCAUGGAGCCGACCUUGAAAUACCACCCUUUAAUGUUUGAUGUUCUAACGUGGACCCGUAAUCCGGGUUGCGGACAGUGUCUGGUGGGUAGUUUGACUGGGGCGGUCUCCUCCUAAAGAGUAACGGAGGAGCACGAAGGUUGGCUAAUCCUGGUCGGACAUCAGGAGGUUAGUGCAAUGGCAUAAGCCAGCUUGACUGCGAGCGUGACGGCGCGAGCAGGUGCGAAAGCAGGUCAUAGUGAUCCGGUGGUUCUGAAUGGAAGGGCCAUCGCUCAACGGAUAAAAGGUACUCCGGGGAUAACAGGCUGAUACCGCCCAAGAGUUCAUAUCGACGGCGGUGUUUGGCACCUCGAUGUCGGCUCAUCACAUCCUGGGGCUGAAGUAGGUCCCAAGGGUAUGGCUGUUCGCCAUUUAAAGUGGUACGCGAGCUGGGUUUAGAACGUCGUGAGACAGUUCGGUCCCUAUCUGCCGUGGGCGCUGGAGAACUGAGGGGGGCUGCUCCUAGUACGAGAGGACCGGAGUGGACGCAUCACUGGUGUUCGGGUUGUCAUGCCAAUGGCACUGCCCGGUAGCUAAAUGCGGAAGAGAUAAGUGCUGAAAGCAUCUAAGCACGAAACUUGCCCCGAGAUGAGUUCUCCCUG
RNAcentral lists this ribosomal RNA (900 nucleotides) under Salmonella enterica. RNAcentral's name for it is "partial 23S ribosomal RNA". It matches the Rfam family "Bacterial large subunit ribosomal RNA", at positions 1918 to 2817 of the family's 2925-position model. Lineage: Bacteria; Pseudomonadati; Pseudomonadota; Gammaproteobacteria; Enterobacterales; Enterobacteriaceae. The record is from RNAcentral. RNAcentral also lists the same sequence under 7 other names.